UACGGGGGGGGCAAGCGUUGUUCGGAAUUACUGGGCGUAAAGGGCUCGUAGGCGGCCAACUAAGUCAGACGUGAAAUCCCUCGGCUUAACCGGGGAACUGCGCCUGAUACUGGAUGGCUUGAGGUUGGGAGAGGGAUGCGGAAUUCCAGGUGUAGCGGUGAAAUGCGUAGAUAUCUGGAGGAACACCGGUGGCGAAGGCGGCAUCCUGGACCAAUUCUGACGCUGAGUGAGCGAAAGCCAGGGGAGCAAACGGG
Molecule: ribosomal RNA, 254 nt
Filed under: uncultured bacterium
Lineage: Bacteria
Description: partial 16S ribosomal RNA
Rfam family: Bacterial small subunit ribosomal RNA
Source: RNAcentral